Molecule: ribosomal RNA, 460 nt
Filed under: uncultured bacterium
Lineage: Bacteria
Description: partial 16S ribosomal RNA
Rfam family: Bacterial small subunit ribosomal RNA
Source: RNAcentral
CCUACGGGCGGCAGCAGUGAGGAAUAUUGGUCAAUGGACGAGAGUCUGAACCAGCCAAGUAGCGUGAAGGAUGACUGCCCUAUGGGUUGUAAACUUCUUUUAUAAAGGAAUAAAACGAGGCACGUGUGCCUUUAUGCAAGUACUUUAUGAAUAAGGAUCGGCUAACUCCGUGCCAGCAGCCGCGGUAAUACGGAGGAUCCGAGCGUUAUCCGGAUUUAUUGGGUUUAAAGGGAGCGUAGAUGGGUUGUUAAGUCAGUUGUGAAAGUUUGCGGCUCAACCGUAGAAUUGCAAUUGAUACUGGCAGUCUUGAGUACAGUUGAGGUAGGCGGAAUUCGUGGUGUAGCGGUGAAAUGCUUAGAUAUCACGAAGAACCCCGAUUGCGAAGGCAGCUUACUAAACUGUGACUGACAUUGAUGCUCGAAAGUGUGGGUAUCAAACAGGAUUAGAUACCCUUGUAGUC